Molecule: ribosomal RNA, 253 nt
Filed under: uncultured bacterium
Lineage: Bacteria
Description: partial 16S ribosomal RNA
Rfam family: Bacterial small subunit ribosomal RNA
Source: RNAcentral
UACGUAGGGGGCAAGCGUUGUCCGGAUUUAUUGGGCGUAAAGAGCGUGUAGGCGGCUUUACAGGUCCGUUGUGAAAACUCGAGGCUCAACCUCGAGACGCCGGUGGAAACCGUAAAGCUAGAGUCCGGAAGAGGAGAGUGGAAUUCCUGGUGUAGCGGUGAAAUGCGCAGAUAUCAGGAAGAACACCCAGGGGGAAGGCCGCUCUCUGGGACGGGACUGACGCUGAGACGCGAAAGCGUGGGGAGCGAACAGG